RNAcentral lists this ribosomal RNA (367 nucleotides) under uncultured bacterium. Its description in RNAcentral is "bacterial SSU rRNA". It matches the Rfam family "Bacterial small subunit ribosomal RNA", at positions 71 to 422 of the family's 1533-position model. The record is from RNAcentral.
AAAGGGGCUUCGGCUCCGAGUAAAGUGGCGCACGGGUGAGUAACACGUGGGUAACCUGCCUCUAAGAUUGGGAUAACUCGUCGAAAGAUGAGCUAAUACCGAAUAAGACCACAGUUCCUGCGGGAACAGGGGUCAAAGGUAGCCUCUGCUUGCAAGCUAUCACUUAGAGAUGGGCCUGCGCACCAUUAGCUAGUUGGUAGGGUAACGGCCUACCAAGGCAAAGAUGGUUAGCUGGUCUGAGAGGAUGAUCAGCCACACUGGAACUGAGACACGGUCCAGACUCCUACGGGAGGCAGCAGUGGGGAAUAUUGCGCAAUGGGCGAAAGCUUGACGCAGCAACGCCGCGUGAGUGAUGAAGGCCUUCGGG